UACGGAGGGCGCAAGCGUUGUUAGGAAUCACUGGGCGUAAAGCGAGUGUAGGCGGCUUGGCAAGUCGGGAGUGAAAUCCCGAGGCUCAACCUCGGAACCGCACUCGAAACUGCUUGGCUCGAGUCCCGGAGAGGGAGGCGGAAUUCCCCGUGUAGGGGUGAAAUCCGUAGAUAUCGGGUGGAACACCAGUGGCGAAGGCGGCCACCUGGACGGUGACUGACGCUGAGACGCGAAAGCGUGGGGAGCAAACAGG
RNAcentral lists this ribosomal RNA (253 nucleotides) under uncultured bacterium. Its description in RNAcentral is "partial 16S ribosomal RNA". It matches the Rfam family "Bacterial small subunit ribosomal RNA", at positions 524 to 776 of the family's 1533-position model. The record is from RNAcentral.